CUAAAUAUUUGCUCAUGUGGCUAUUAUUCUGAGAAUAAAGAUCUGAAUAUUUUGCUCAGAAUUAUUUUUAUUUUUCAGUGAAGUAAGAAAAAUAACACUGUAGAUUUUUCGGUUGAAAUCUAACAUAGAAUUAAAUAGAUAGGGCAUCUUCCUUGGAUUCUAAAAUGGCUAUAGAAAUUUGAAGAUUUACUUAUUAAUUUUUAUAACAUUUACAAGAUUUCUCCAAGGCAAGUACUUUCUUAUAUGGAGGCUUCAUCUUUGCUUAAGACCUUGCUUAUAGGAAGAAACCAAGCAACCAACCAGCCAAGUAACUCACUUUUUUCUUCUUUCUGCUAUGAAUUUUCUGGUGUAUGAUAAUUGUCAUUUCAUCAUCUCACCUGCAGACUCCGUAUCUCCAACUUGUAAUCUGGGGACUUACUCUUUGAGAAAAAUAGAAGAUCCUGUCAGUUUUCCUUGCCAAUUCCACUGGAAGAAGGAAUCCAAGGGAAAAAGAUAAAGUGAAAGGAGUUGCAACAGAAACUUACUUGAUAAGUAUUCUCUGACAUCAGCAUCCACUGAGAUUCAUGUAAGAUGAGAGCUGGUUUCAGGAACCUUAUGAAAAUGAAUUUAUCGUAAUGAAUUAUUUUUUGGUUCUGCGAAAUAAUUACUUUCUUAUUGGAAGUAAUUGAUUGGGAGCACUUUGCUCUACAGGUUAACUGUGAUAAAUCUAAGUUGAGAUGAA
Long non-coding RNA from Felis catus (domestic cat), 721 nucleotides. RefSeq lists it as uncharacterized. The transcript is spliced from 2 exons. Lineage: Eukaryota; Metazoa; Chordata; Mammalia; Carnivora; Felidae. The record is from RefSeq and is a predicted model, not a curated record.